This 253-nucleotide ribosomal RNA is filed under the name uncultured bacterium. Its description in RNAcentral is "partial 16S ribosomal RNA". It matches the Rfam family "Bacterial small subunit ribosomal RNA", at positions 524 to 776 of the family's 1533-position model. The record is from RNAcentral.
UACAGAGGUCCCAAGCGUUGUUCGGAUUCACUGGGCGUAAAGGGUGCGUAGGCGGUCGGGUAAGUCUGAUGUGAAAUCUCACAGCUUAACUGUGAAACUGCAUUGGAUACUAUUCGGCUAGAGAGUUGGAGGGGGGACUGGAAUUCUUGGUGUAGCAGUGAAAUGCGUAGAUAUCAAGAGGAACACCAGUGGCGAAGGCGAGUCCCUGGACAACUUCUGACGCUGAGGCACGAAAGCUAGGGGAGCAAACAGG